UGUAUAAUUUAGCACAGAGUAUAUCAAAAUGUCUACUAGCAGUUAUUUUUUUAAAUUGUUUUAUUGAAAAUUGUUUUUAGGGUAUUCAGUGUUAAUAUAUCAUGUGAUAUGGGCCGUAGUAAACUAUGAGUUUUAUAUAAAUGGUAGUUAUUUUCAAAUAUAUUUUUUUUACAGCUAGUACUUUGAGUUAAAUAAAUAGAUCGUUAGUUGAAUAUCUUUGGACUUAAAUAUUUUAUUUUGACUAGUUUGUAGUUGGGAUAUUGUAUUGUUAAAUGCACCCCCCACCCAUCUAAUAAUGCCGUAAGAUAUUAGCGAUUCUACUAAGGCAAAUUAUACUUGAGGCAUUGGUCAUAGUUAAAGGAUUUUAUUUAAAUUCCUAAAAACAUAAAUCAUUUUUUAUCUCUAGCAAGCCUUUCUGAUCAUUAAAAUUCUGUAAAUAUGUCUUUUUUAUCUAACAUUCUAUCUUCAAAAAUUGAUUGCCCCAAACUAUUGCAUUUUGCAUAA
Non-coding RNA from Cinara cedri, 504 nucleotides. Lineage: Eukaryota; Metazoa; Arthropoda; Insecta; Hemiptera; Aphididae. The record is from the annotation of a GenBank genome assembly.